AUUGAACGCUGGCGGCAGGCCUAACACAUGCAAGUCGAGCGGAUGAAGGGAGCUUGCUCCUGGAUUCAGCGGCGGACGGGUGAGUAAUGCCUAGGAAUCUGCCUGGUAGUGGGGGAUAACGUCCGGAAACGGGCGCUAAUACCGCAUACGUCCUGAGGGAGAAAGUGGGGGAUCUUCGGACCUCACGCUAUCAUAUGAGCCUAGGUCGGAUUAGCUAGUUGGUGGGGUAACGGCCUACCAAGGCGACGAUCCGUAACUGGUCUGAGAGGAUGAUCAGUCACACUGGAACUGAGACACGGACCAGACUCCUACGGGAGGCAGCAGUGGGGAAUAUUGGACAAUGGGCGAAAGCCUGAUCCAGCCAUGCCGCGUGUGUGAAGAAGGUCUUCGGAUUGUAAAGCACUUUAAGUUGGGAGGAAGGGCAGUAAGUUAAUACCUUGCUGUUUUGACGUUACCAACAGAAUAAGCACCGGCUAACUUCGUG
RNAcentral lists this ribosomal RNA (484 nucleotides) under uncultured bacterium. Its description in RNAcentral is "partial 16S ribosomal RNA". It matches the Rfam family "Bacterial small subunit ribosomal RNA", at positions 30 to 507 of the family's 1533-position model. The record is from RNAcentral.